UCAAGCUCUCAGAUAUACAGAUAAUUAA
Molecule: non-coding RNA, 28 nt
Filed under: Mus musculus (house mouse)
Lineage: Eukaryota; Metazoa; Chordata; Mammalia; Rodentia; Muridae
Source: RNAcentral